ACGGGAGGCAGCAGUGAGGAAUAUUGGUCAAUGGACGGAAGUCUGAACCAGCCAAGUAGCGUGCAGGAUGACGGCCCUAUGGGUUGUAAACUGCUUUUAUAUGGGGAUAAAAAAGAGUACGUGUACUUUCUUGCAGGUACCAUAUGAAUAAGGACCGGCUAAUUCCGUGCCAGCAGCCGCGGUAAUACGGAAGGUCCGGGCGUUAUCCGGAUUUAUUGGGUUUAAAGGGAGCGUAGGCGGUAUUUUAAGCGUGUUGUGAAAUGUAGAUGCUCAACAUCUGAAUUGCAGCGCGAACUGGAGGGCUUGAGUGCGCCGGAAGUAGGCGGAAUUCGUUGUGUAGCAGUGAAAUGCUUAGAUAUGACGAAGAACUCCGAUUGCGAAGGCAGCUUACUGUCGCGUAACUGACGCUGAAGCUCGAAAGUGCGGGUAUCGAACAGGAUUAGAUACCCUGGUA
Molecule: ribosomal RNA, 454 nt
Filed under: uncultured Prevotella sp.
Lineage: Bacteria; Pseudomonadati; Bacteroidota; Bacteroidia; Bacteroidales; Prevotellaceae
Description: bacterial SSU rRNA
Rfam family: Bacterial small subunit ribosomal RNA
Source: RNAcentral